CUAGCUGGUCUGAGAGGAUGACCAGCCACACUGGAACUGAGACACGGUCCAGACUCCUACGGGAGGCAGCAGUGGGGAAUAUUGCACAAUGGGCGCAAGCCUGAUGCAGCCAUGCCGCGUGUAUGAAGAAGGCCUUCGGGUUGUAAAGUACUUUCAGCGGGGAGGAAGGGAGUAAAGUUAAUACCUUUGCUCAUUGACGUUACCCGCAGAAGAAGCACCGGCUAACUCCGUGCCAGCAGCCGCGGUAAUACGGAGGGUGCAAGCGUUAAUCGGAAUUACUGGGCGUAAAGCGCACGCAGGCGGUUUGUUAAGUCAGAUG
This 319-nucleotide ribosomal RNA is filed under the name Escherichia coli. RNAcentral describes it as "bacterial SSU rRNA". It matches the Rfam family "Bacterial small subunit ribosomal RNA", at positions 283 to 594 of the family's 1533-position model. Lineage: Bacteria; Pseudomonadati; Pseudomonadota; Gammaproteobacteria; Enterobacterales; Enterobacteriaceae. The record is from RNAcentral.